Felis catus (domestic cat) is the source of this 1667-nucleotide long non-coding RNA. RefSeq lists it as uncharacterized. Lineage: Eukaryota; Metazoa; Chordata; Mammalia; Carnivora; Felidae. The transcript has 4 exons. The record is from RefSeq and is a predicted model, not a curated record.
UACCUCACGGUUUUGACCUGCCUUGAGGGGGAUGGCUGCCAUGACUGGUCCCCUAAGGACCAUACUUGGUCAUAGGCUACCCUCUAGUGACUUGUAGGAGGAGACUCCCGGGUGAUUGGAGAACAAAGACCGCCCAUAGUGAGACUCUUCAACCCAGAUUCAGGAAACUCAAUUUCUGUGGUGCUCAAUGGAACUUUUGACAAUUUAAUGAAGAAACCUCGAGAGUGCAGAGGGAUACAUUUCCAGAAGUGGAAUUGCUGGGUCAAAAGGCUCCUAUGGCAAAUCUAUAUGAAUGCUCUUACACUGCUUGAGACAAGGUUAAACACGUAAUCAUUGCAAGAUAUUCUAAAAUGUAUGCAUUUACCGAUCAGUCAGCAUUCUGAAGUGUGAAAGGCAUCUCCUUUAUAAGAGUUGGCUUCAUACAUGGGAAAGCAUGGAGCCUGAAGGCUUAAAUGACAUUUGUAAGAAACAAUCUGUCCGCACAGAGCACCAUCUGUUUACAGUUAUUGCCUAUCAAAAGAAUGUAAGAAUCUUUGUCCUGUGAACAAUCAUUCUAGAAACCAUUGUAUCAUUCUCACCUAGUAGCCGAGUAGCAGAAAAAUAUUUUGUUGGCAGGUAGGCUAAUUUCCAUUUAGGAAAAACUAUGGAAUACUGAUUGUCCCUCCUUCAGAAUCAAUGUAAUUUCUUGUCAAUGCUUAAAUUGUAUAUGGUAACCAAGAAGCCAGGUUUAUUUCCUUUUUUCUUGAGCAACUAGAAAUAUUCGAGAUGACUAAAAAUGGCUGGAGGGUAGGGUUGUGUCUUUAUACCCCAGACAGUGUCUUUCAGAGUUUUUUUAUACAAAAUAAGAAGGUAAACACUUGUUGAAUUUAAUUGAAGAAACUGAUGUGGCAUCUAAACACAAAAAUUUAGUUUAAAAAAAAACCAUAAAUAUAUUUAGACUAAAUGAACUACUUGCUUCCUAUCUUGUUUUGGCAUAAACACAGCACAAUAAAAGUUAGCAAAGAUGAAAAUCUAGUACCUAUUAUUUUGGAUAAGGACAAAAGCAAUAUAAACCCUGCUGUUUGUGAACAUAAAAGAAAAUUGCUUAUCUGAUUCAGAAAGGAGUUGGACCAAUUCUAAAAACAUCAUUCCUAUUAUACUUUUUUUUUCUUUUCACCAGUCCUGAUGUUUUUCUAAUUCAUUAAGCUGAGAUCAUCUAUGUGCAGGCUUGACAAUAUGGUUAAGUAGGAACAAGGCUCAAUAAAUCUAAUGAAUUUUUACUUACAAUUUGAAUGUCAAUGAUGCACAGUUUUUCAGAGACAAUGACUAUAAUUAAGUCCAUUCCCCAUUUUUUUAUCUGAAGUGAUAGCAUGGCAAAACUAUAAUUAUGCAAAAUGACACAUUUCCCAAAUUAUGCAUUAUGAAGACAUUAAAGAUACUUAAAAAGUAAUCACAUGUAUCUAAAAAAAGGCACAAGACUGUUAUUUAAACCUUCAAAUAAAAUUAUUGACUAUCAAACUUACACUUAAAAAAUCUUAAAUAGAUGUUCAUGGGUUAUUUGCUCUAUGGUUUUGGUUUGCGUACAUUCCUAAAUUACUCCUUUCCUGUAUCUACAAGAUAGUAAGCACUCAGAUAACUUUUAAAUAGGUACUUCACCAAUAAGAAAAGAAAAUCAAGAAAAGACAGAG